GGCGACGUAGCCAAGUGGAUAAGGCAGGGGUCUGCAAAACCCCCAUCAUCGGUUCGAACCCGAUCGUCGCCU
Molecule: transfer RNA, 72 nt
Filed under: Chloroflexota bacterium
Lineage: Bacteria; Bacillati; Chloroflexota
Also listed under: 1 other name
Description: Chloroflexi bacterium (anaerobic digester metagenome) tRNA-Cys
Rfam family: tRNA
About the family: Transfer RNA (tRNA) molecules are approximately 80 nucleotides in length. Their secondary structure includes four short double-helical elements and three loops (D, anti-codon, and T loops).
Source: RNAcentral